GGGCAUGUAGCACAGUGGUCUAGCGCGCACGCUUUGCACUUUCGUUGCUUAGAGAAGCAUCAGUGUGACUUUGCGUGAGGUCAUGGGUUCAAAUCCCAUCUUGUCCA
RNAcentral lists this transfer RNA (107 nucleotides) under Auriscalpium vulgare. RNAcentral's name for it is "tRNA-Ala". It matches the Rfam family "tRNA". From Rfam's summary of the family: Transfer RNA (tRNA) molecules are approximately 80 nucleotides in length. Their secondary structure includes four short double-helical elements and three loops (D, anti-codon, and T loops). Further hydrogen bonds mediate the characteristic L-shaped molecular structure. tRNAs have two regions of fundamental functional importance: the anti-codon, which is responsible for specific mRNA codon recognition, and the 3' end, to which the tRNAs corresponding amino acid is attached (by aminoacyl-tRNA synthetases). tRNAs cope with the degeneracy of the genetic code in two manners: having more than one tRNA (with a specific anti-codon) for a particular amino acid; and 'wobble' base-pairing, i.e. permitting non-standard base-pairing at the 3rd anti-codon position. Lineage: Eukaryota; Fungi; Basidiomycota; Agaricomycetes; Russulales; Auriscalpiaceae. The record is from RNAcentral.